CUGCUCAGUGGGUUAGAGCAUGGUGCUGAGAAUGCCAAGGUUGCAGGUUCGAUCCCUGUACGG
Molecule: transfer RNA, 63 nt
Filed under: Podarcis lilfordi (Lilford's wall lizard)
Lineage: Eukaryota; Metazoa; Chordata; Lepidosauria; Squamata; Lacertidae
Description: tRNA.Leu
Rfam family: tRNA
About the family: Transfer RNA (tRNA) molecules are approximately 80 nucleotides in length. Their secondary structure includes four short double-helical elements and three loops (D, anti-codon, and T loops). Further hydrogen bonds mediate the characteristic L-shaped molecular structure. tRNAs have two regions of fundamental functional importance: the anti-codon, which is responsible for specific mRNA codon recognition, and the 3' end, to which the tRNAs corresponding amino acid is attached (by aminoacyl-tRNA synthetases). tRNAs cope with the degeneracy of the genetic code in two manners: having more than one tRNA (with a specific anti-codon) for a particular amino acid; and 'wobble' base-pairing, i.e. permitting non-standard base-pairing at the 3rd anti-codon position.
Source: RNAcentral